This 31-nucleotide non-coding RNA is filed under the name Homo sapiens (human). Lineage: Eukaryota; Metazoa; Chordata; Mammalia; Primates; Hominidae. The record is from RNAcentral.
UCUGCCGGUCUUCGUCUGCGGUGGCCCGAAA